This 1346-nucleotide ribosomal RNA is filed under the name uncultured bacterium. RNAcentral describes it as "partial 16S ribosomal RNA". It matches the Rfam family "Bacterial small subunit ribosomal RNA", at positions 28 to 1381 of the family's 1533-position model. The record is from RNAcentral.
GACGAACGCUGGCGGCGUGCUUAACACAUGCAAGUCUAACGGAAAGGCCCUGCUUUUGUGGGGUGCUCGAGUGGCGAACGGGUGAGUAACACGUGAGUAACCUGCCCUUGACUUUGGGAUAACUUCAGGAAACUGGGGCUAAUACCGGAUAGGAGCUCCUGCUGCAUGGUGGGGGUUGGAAAGUUUCGGCGGUUGGGGAUGGACUCGCGGCUUAUCAGCUUGUUGGUGGGGUAGUGGCUUACCAAGGCUUUGACGGGUAGCCGGCCUGAGAGGGUGACCGGCCACAUUGGGACUGAGAUACGGCCCAGACUCCUACGGGAGGCAGCAGUGGGGAAUAUUGCACAAUGGGCGGAAGCCUGAUGCAGCAACGCCGCGUGCGGGAUGACGGCCUUCGGGUUGUAAACCGCUUUCGCCUGUGACGAAGCGUGAGUGACGGUAAUGGGUAAAGAAGCACCGGCUAACUACGUGCCAGCAGCCGCGGUGGUACGUAGGGUGCGAGCGUUGUCCGGAUUUAUUGGGCGUAAAGGGCUCGUAGGUGGUUGAUCGCGUCGGAAGUGUAAUCUUGGGGCUUAACCCUGAGCGUGCUUUCGAUACGGGUUGACUUGAGGAAGGCAGGGGAGAAUGGAAUUCCUGGUGGAGCGGUGGAAUGCGCAGAUAUCAGGAGGAACACCAGUGGCGAAGGCGGUUCUCUGGGCCUUUCCUGACGCUGAGGAGCGAAAGCGUGGGGAGCGAACAGGCUUAGAUACCCUGGUAGUCCACGCUGUAAACGGUGGGUACUAGGUGUGGGGUCCAUUCCACGGGUUCCGUGCCGUAGCUAACGCUUUAAGUACCCCGCCUGGGGAGUACGGCCGCAAGGCUAAAACUCAAAGGAAUUGACGGGGCCCCGCACAAGCGGCGGAGCAUGCGGAUUAAUUCGAUGCAACGCGUAGAACCUUACCUGGGUUUGACAUGGAUCGGGAGUGCUCAGAGAUGGGUGUGCCUCUUUUGGGGUCGGUUCACAGGUGGUGCAUGGCUGUCGUCAGCUCGUGUCGUGAGAUGUUGGGUUAAGUCCCGCAACGAGCGCAACCCUUGUUCACUGUUGCCAGCACGUUAUGGUGGGGACUCAGUGGAGACCGCCGGGGUCAACUCGGAGGAAGGUGGGGAUGACGUCAAGUCAUCAUGCCCCUUAUGUCCAGGGCUUCACGCAUGCUACAAUGGCUGGUACAGAGAGUGGCGAGCCUGUGAGGGUGAGCGAAUCUCGGAAAGCCGGUCUCAGUUCGGAUUGGGGUCUGCGACUCGACCUCAUGAAGUCGGAGUCGCUAGUAAUCGCAGAUCAGCAACGCUGCGGUGAAUACGUUCCCGGGGCU